UUCACUUGACCACUACUUCUAAUGCCCAUUUUUUUUUCCACUGUGUGAAGUGAGGCAGUGGAGACAGAUAUUUGAAGCUAGUUGUGAACCUGAAUCUGGGGGCUGGGGCCAUGCAAUUAGUCUAAUUGCUAAGCAUGCCAGCCGGACUAUUUCCAUUUGCAUCCAUCCCCCAUCCAUUCGCCAACCGAAUCUGGCCAAGACAGAUCGAAGAGGCAGCAGGCACAAACUGGCGCUAAUCGUUCAAACGAAAUCAGCAACAAUUCAUUUGCACAACAAGCGCCCAGCCUUUAGUUCCAUUUUCAGAAUCCGAAAGGGGUCCAGAACUCCGUCUAUCCAGGAUACAGUAUACAUAUAUAUAUAUAUAUAU
Molecule: non-coding RNA, 367 nt
Organism: Drosophila melanogaster (fruit fly)
Lineage: Eukaryota; Metazoa; Arthropoda; Insecta; Diptera; Drosophilidae
Source: Ensembl